Molecule: transfer RNA, 84 nt
Filed under: Paracoccus methylarcula
Lineage: Bacteria; Pseudomonadati; Pseudomonadota; Alphaproteobacteria; Rhodobacterales; Paracoccaceae
Also listed under: 7 other names
Description: Methylarcula marina tRNA-Leu
Rfam family: tRNA
About the family: Transfer RNA (tRNA) molecules are approximately 80 nucleotides in length. Their secondary structure includes four short double-helical elements and three loops (D, anti-codon, and T loops).
Source: RNAcentral
GCCCGAGUGGCGGAAUGGUAGACGCAGCGGAUUCAAAAUCCGCCGGAGCAAUCCAUGCCGGUUCGAGUCCGGCCUCGGGUACCA